Molecule: ribosomal RNA, 64 nt
Filed under: Porphyrostromium boryanum
Lineage: Eukaryota; Rhodophyta; Compsopogonophyceae; Erythropeltidales; Erythrotrichiaceae
Description: small subunit ribosomal RNA
Source: RNAcentral
ACCAUGGAGAGGUUGAUCAAGGCUCAGGAUGAACGCUGGCGGUAUGCUUUACACAUGCAAGUCG